This 484-nucleotide ribosomal RNA is filed under the name uncultured bacterium. Its description in RNAcentral is "partial 16S ribosomal RNA". It matches the Rfam family "Bacterial small subunit ribosomal RNA", at positions 30 to 507 of the family's 1533-position model. The record is from RNAcentral.
AUUGAACGCUGGCGGCAGGUCUAACACAUGCAAGUCGAGCGGAUGAAGGGGGCUUGCUCCUGGAUUCAGCGGCGGACGGGUGAGUAAUGCCUAGGAAUCUGCCUGGUAGUGGGGGAUAACGUCCGGAAACGGGCGCUAAUACCGCAUACGUCCUGAGGGAGAAAGUGGGGGAUCUUCGGACCUCACGCUAUCAGAUGAGCCUAGGUCGGAUUAGCUAGUUGGUGGGGUAAAGGCCUACCAAGGCGACGAUCCGUAACUGGUCUGAGAGGAUGAUCAGUCACACUGGAACUGAGACACGGUCCAGACUCCUACGGGAGGCAGCAGUGGGGAAUAUUGGACAAUGGGCGAAAGCCUGAUCCAGCCAUGCCGCGUGUGUGAAGAAGGUCUUCGGAUUGUAAAGCACUUUAAGUUGGGAGGAAGGGCAGUAAGUUAAUACCUUGCUGUUUUGACGUUACCAACAGAAUAAGCACCGGCUAACUUCGUG